This 373-nucleotide ribosomal RNA is filed under the name uncultured organism. RNAcentral describes it as "bacterial SSU rRNA". It matches the Rfam family "Bacterial small subunit ribosomal RNA", at positions 526 to 896 of the family's 1533-position model. The record is from RNAcentral.
CAGAGGGGGCAAGCGUUGUUCGGAAUUACUGGGCGUAAAGGGCGCGUAGGCGGCCUGUUAAGUCGAAACGUGAAAUCCCCGGGCUCAACCCGGGAACUGCGUCCGAUACUGGCAGGCUUGAAUUCGGGAGAGGGAUGCGGAAUUCCAGGUGUAGCGGUGAAAUGCGUAGAUAUCUGGAGGAACACCGGUGGCGAAGGCGGCAUCCUGGACCGAGAUUGACGCUGAGGCGCGAAAGCCAGGGGAGCAAACGGGAUUAGAUACCCCGGUAGUCCUGGCCCUAGACGAUGAAUGCUUGGUGUGGCGGGUAUCGAUCCCUGCCGUGCCGAAGCUAACGCAUUAAGCAUUCCGCCUGGGGAGUACGGUCGCAAGGCUG